RNAcentral lists this ribosomal RNA (189 nucleotides) under uncultured bacterium. Its description in RNAcentral is "partial 16S ribosomal RNA". It matches the Rfam family "Bacterial small subunit ribosomal RNA", at positions 338 to 524 of the family's 1533-position model. The record is from RNAcentral.
CCUACGGGAGGCAGCAGUGAGGAAUAUUGGACAAUGGGUGAGAGCCUGAUCCAGCCAUCCCGCGUGAAGGACGACGGCCCUAUGGGUUGUAAACUUCUUUUGUAUAGGGAUAAACCUACUCUCGUGAGAGUAGCUGAAGGUACUAUACGAAUAAGCACCGGCUAACUCCGUGCCAGCAGCCGCGGUAAU